This 125-nucleotide small RNA is filed under the name Marmota monax (woodchuck). Lineage: Eukaryota; Metazoa; Chordata; Mammalia; Rodentia; Sciuridae. The record is from RNAcentral.
GCCGGGUGCGGUAGCGCACGCCUGUAAUCCCAGUGGCUUGGGAGGCUGAGACAGGAGAAUUAUGUGUUCAAAGCCAGCCUAAGCAACUAGGAGACACUAAGCAAUUCAGUGAGACCCUGUCUUUA